This 1309-nucleotide ribosomal RNA is filed under the name Vibrio cholerae. RNAcentral describes it as "partial 23S ribosomal RNA". It matches the Rfam family "Bacterial large subunit ribosomal RNA", at positions 1637 to 2925 of the family's 2925-position model. Lineage: Bacteria; Pseudomonadati; Pseudomonadota; Gammaproteobacteria; Vibrionales; Vibrionaceae. The record is from RNAcentral.
AGGAAUCGUACCCCAAACCGACACAGGUGGUCGGGUAGAGAAUACCAAGGCGCUUGAGAGAACUCGGGUGAAGGAACUAGGCAAAAUGGUACCGUAACUUCGGGAGAAGGUACGCUCUUGAUGGUGAAGUCCCUCGCGGAUGGAGCUGACGAGAGUCGCAGAUACCAGGUGGCUGCAACUGUUUAUUAAAAACACAGCACUGUGCAAAAUCGCAAGAUGACGUAUACGGUGUGACGCCUGCCCGGUGCCGGAAGGUUAAUUGAUGGGGUUAGCGCAAGCGAAGCUCUUGAUCGAAGCCCCGGUAAACGGCGGCCGUAACUAUAACGGUCCUAAGGUAGCGAAAUUCCUUGUCGGGUAAGUUCCGACCUGCACGAAUGGCGUAAUGAUGGCCACGCUGUCUCCACCCGAGACUCAGUGAAAUUGAAAUCGCUGUGAAGAUGCAGUGUACCCGCGGCUAGACGGAAAGACCCCGUGAACCUUUACUACAGCUUGGCACUGAACAUUGAACCUACAUGUGUAGGAUAGGUGGGAGGCUAUGAAGACGUGACGCCAGUUGCGUUGGAGCCGUCCUUGAAAUACCACCCUUGUAUGUUUGAUGUUCUAACUUAGACCCGUUAUCCGGGUUGAGGACAGUGCCUGGUGGGUAGUUUGACUGGGGCGGUCUCCUCCCAAAGAGUAACGGAGGAGCACGAAGGUGGGCUAAUCACGGUUGGACAUCGUGAGGUUAGUGCAAUGGCAUAAGCCCGCUUAACUGCGAGAAUGACGGUUCGAGCAGGUGCGAAAGCAGGUCAUAGUGAUCCGGUGGUUCUGUAUGGAAGGGCCAUCGCUCAACGGAUAAAAGGUACUCCGGGGAUAACAGGCUGAUACCGCCCAAGAGUUCAUAUCGACGGCGGUGUUUGGCACCUCGAUGUCGGCUCAUCACAUCCUGGGGCUGAAGUCGGUCCCAAGGGUAUGGCUGUUCGCCAUUUAAAGUGGUACGCGAGCUGGGUUUAGAACGUCGUGAGACAGUUCGGUCCCUAUCUGCCGUGGGCGUUGGAAGAUUGAAGGGGGCUGCUCCUAGUACGAGAGGACCGGAGUGGACGAACCUCUGGUGUUCGGGUUGUGUCGCCAGACGCAUUGCCCGGUAGCUAAGUUCGGAAUUGAUAAGCGCUGAAAGCAUCUAAGCGCGAAGCGAGCCCUGAGAUGAGUCUUCCCUGACAGUUUAACUGUCCUAAAGGGUUGUUCGAGACUAGAACGUUGAUAGGCAGGGUGUGUAAGCGUUGUGAGGCGUUGAGCUAACCUGUACUAAUUGCCCGUGAGGCUUAACCAU